RNAcentral lists this transfer RNA (73 nucleotides) under Imasa heleensis. Its description in RNAcentral is "tRNA-Gly". It matches the Rfam family "tRNA". Rfam says of the family: Transfer RNA (tRNA) molecules are approximately 80 nucleotides in length. Their secondary structure includes four short double-helical elements and three loops (D, anti-codon, and T loops). Lineage: Eukaryota; Malawimonada; Malawimonadea; Malawimonadida; Imasidae. The record is from RNAcentral.
ACGAAAGUAGCUUAAUGGUUAAAGUGUAACCUUGCCAAGGUUAAGGUUGAGGGUUCGAGUCCCUUCUUUCGUA